Molecule: long non-coding RNA, 440 nt
Filed under: Pelobates cultripes (western spadefoot toad)
Lineage: Eukaryota; Metazoa; Chordata; Amphibia; Anura; Pelobatidae
Source: RNAcentral
CAGAGAGGCAAUUCCUGGUACUUCAGAGUAUUUAUUGAUCAAAAGAGUUCAUGAGGGUUCUGGACAGAUGCUCCGUAGGCCCACUGGACCACUGCUGAGUAUAUGUUCUUGGGCAAGUAAAACUUGAGAUUGUUGAAGUACAGCCUGUCUUUAAGAGUUGUCCCUUUCUGUUUCCAGCUUGUGGUUUGUUUGUUUUUUCUUUCUUUCCAGGGUCAGUAGCUUGCUCGUUAUUCCUUCGGGAGCUUGAUGUCUGUGGGUAGGAUCUUACAUGGUGAAUAUGGGAGUUUCUUCAGCAGACACUUUUCUGUCCACUUCCCUUAGUGCACUUACAACUUAUUGAACAACUUAGUCAGCCAGAGAGUUGCCACAUGCUUUCUCUGAGAUCAGUCUUCCUUCAGAGAUCUUGCAUGCUGUGAUGGGAGCCUAUAGCUCAGCUUCUU